RNAcentral lists this long non-coding RNA (803 nucleotides) under Phoenix dactylifera (date palm). RNAcentral describes it as "long non-coding RNA (PDAC_LNC015846)". Lineage: Eukaryota; Viridiplantae; Streptophyta; Magnoliopsida; Arecales; Arecaceae. The record is from RNAcentral.
UUUUCUUCUCUCAUGUUCUCCCUCUCUCCCGCCUCCAUUGUGUUGGUACUAGGCCGACACGGCAUGGUGCGGGGCCGUACCGACCCAUGACUCCGGGCAACCGGUACAGGGCCUAGAACUGGCACAACAAAUGUUAGGAUGUAUCAUAAAAUCAAGAUGACUCGUAAAAAAUUCAUUUUCUUGUAAAGAACAAAGUUUUUUUUUAGAUAUAUUUAGAAGUAUCCAUGAGACUUAAAUAUCUUUAUAAUGUUGAAUUUAAAACUUCUAUAAUGUUCUAUUUCAAAUGCUUUAGCAUUAUUACUUUCUACAGUUUCAUGUCAAGGUUCUUCCUAAUAAUUAAAUUUAUGAAGAUUUCAGAAAGACAGGUAAGCGAUUUCGGAGAAACUAUAGACAUAGACCUAGGGUAACAAAGAUUAAGUAUAGAUUAGUCUGCAACAAGCUUUUCUUUAUUAAUGAAAAGAAAGCAAGAAAAGAACUCACAGAUGCACCAUCAAUCAACUCCUCAACCAAAAUCAAGGCCAAAACCUUGAAAUGAAUGUUUCCCUUAUCACAAAAGUUAAAUAUGUAUUUUUAAGAAAAAAGGGAUCCAUAAUGAAGGUAACAUCACAUACCGAUGAACAACAACAACCACCAACUUACGUUUUUUUUUUUUUGUUGAUAAACCAACAACAUAAGUUUAUUGGGCUACCUUAUACCAACAAGAAAAACGAGAGAUGAUACCUAUGCAAGUAUAUAUGUAAAAAGGAACGUUACCAGAAUUUAUUCGUGCGUGAUUAGAUAAAUUUCAAGCACAGAUCUGGGAC